RNAcentral lists this long non-coding RNA (1361 nucleotides) under Mus musculus (house mouse). RNAcentral's name for it is "long non-coding RNA chr8:107312676-107314037". Lineage: Eukaryota; Metazoa; Chordata; Mammalia; Rodentia; Muridae. The record is from RNAcentral.
UUUUUUUUUUUUUUUUCCUCUCAAAUUUUAUUUGUUUGUUUGGUUUGGUUUUUUUGAGACAGGGUUUCUCUGUGUAGUCCUGCUGUCCUGGUAGAUCAGGCUGGCCUUGAACUCAGAGAUCCACUAGCCUCUGCCUCCCUAGUGCUGGGCUAAAGGUAUGUGCUUCCAUACCCAGCAUUUUCACCUUUUUGUUGUUGUUAAGAUUUAAAAAUUUUAAUUUUAUUUAUGUGUGUGUGUUUGCCUGUCUGUUUGUAGGUAUGUGCACAUGUGUAUUGUAUGUAUGUCUAUAGAGACCAGAGAUGCCAGGUCCUUCUGGAACUAGAAUAAUAGGUCUGACAUAAGUGCUAGCAACCAAAUUUCAGUCCUCUGGAAGAGCAAUACAUACUAUCUUUCCAGCCCCAAGGACACUUUUUUAGAGAUUUAUUUUUAUUAUUUCUGUGUAUGUGUCUGUGUGAAUGUAUGUCCAUAUGUGUGUGCAGGUGUCCAUGGGGACCAAAGAGGACACUAGCUAUAGAGUGGUCCUUUACAACUGGGAUUACAGGCAGUUGAGAGCCACCCAACAUGGAUGCUGGGAACUUAACUCUAGUCCUCUGCAGAGCAGUGAGGGGACUUAACUGCUGAAUAAUCUCUUCAGCUCCAAUAUAAUUUUACUUUAAAAAAUUGAAUUAACAAUUAAUGGAUUUUCUACAGAUAACUGAGCAAGUCUCUUUACCAUCUACAUACACAUACUUUUUAAAAAAGUUUUCUUAAACGUAUCCUGCUUUAAUACAUUUUAAAGCAAGUCUAGGCUGGGAGUGGUAGUCACACCUUUACACCUUUAGGUACAGCACUUUGGAAGCAGAGACAGGAAGAUAUCCCUGUGAGUAUAGGAUCUCUGUGAGUGUGAGGUUAGCCUGGUCUGCAAAGCCAGUUCUAGGCUAUCCAGAGCUAUCUAGUACGGUCCUGUCUUUAAAAGAAAAAAGGAGGGCUGGAAAGAUGGCUCAGCAGUUAAGAGCACUGACUGCUCUUUCCAGAGGUCCUGAGUUCAAUUCCCAGCAACCACAUGGUGGCUCACAACCAUCUGUAAUGGGGUCUGAUGCCCUCUUCUGGUGUGUCUGAAAACAGCUACAUACUCAUCAUAUAUAUAAAAUAAAUAAAUAAAAUCUUUAAAAAUAAAUAAAUAAGUAAGUAAAAGAAAAAAGGGAAAAGAAAAGAAAGAAGAAAGAGCUGGAUGGUGGAGGCAGAGGCAGGUGGAUCUCUGAGUUCAAGGCCAGCUUGGUCUAUUAAGCAAGUUACGGGACUACUCAGAGAAGCCCUGUCUUUAAAAACAAAUAAAUAAAAAACAAUGAAUGAAUGAAUGAAUGAAUGAAUGAAUGAAAAGG